AUGGCGACCGGCGCACGGGUGAGUAACACGUAUCCAACCUGCCGAUGACUCGGGGAUAGCCUUUCGAAAGAAAGAUUAAUACCCGAUGGCAUAGUUCUUCCGCAUGGUAGAACUAUUAAAGAAUUUCGGUCAUCGAUGGGGAUGCGUUCCAUUAGCUUGUUGGCGGGGUAACGGGCCCACCAAGGCAUCGAUGGAUAGGGGUUCUGAGAGGAAGGUCCCCCACAUUGGAACUGAGACACGGUCCAAACUCCUACGGAAGGCAGCAG
RNAcentral lists this ribosomal RNA (266 nucleotides) under uncultured bacterium. Its description in RNAcentral is "partial 16S ribosomal RNA". It matches the Rfam family "Bacterial small subunit ribosomal RNA", at positions 88 to 354 of the family's 1533-position model. The record is from RNAcentral.